This is a non-coding RNA of Callithrix jacchus (white-tufted-ear marmoset), 7921 nucleotides long. NCBI's taxonomy places the organism in Eukaryota, Metazoa, Chordata, Mammalia, Primates, Cebidae. The record is from RefSeq and is a predicted model, not a curated record.
GUCGGAAUGGAGGUUCUUCUCUGGCGUCCAGGCGGCCUGGUGGUCCUGAGAAGCCCGGGCUCGCCGGGCCCUGCCCCGAGGCCGCCGGCCGCUGCCCGGGCUGCCCCCGCGUCACGGAUGGGGACGUCUUCAGAGAGGCCCGGAACGGCCGUCGUGGGGCUGGUUUUCUUCCGUUCUGGUGCCUGUUUCGGGUCGUUUGUGCCGUGUGUCAGGGAGACGGUUCACGUGUGUCAUUUGUGAAACUUGAUCAUAAAAGCUGUGUCGUUGUUGCCGUGUCCAGCCGUAGCAGAGUCGGGCGGCGGGAUGGGGUGAGCACUGGGCGGGCGGUCCAUGAGGAAUGUCACCAGCGGGCCGGCUGCGGAGCUACCUCUUGUAACUCCAAACGAGGUUUUCUUUGUCUUUUUUUAUAAAGAAAAAAUUACUUUUUUUUUUUUUGAGACGGAGUCCCUGUCGCCCAGGCUGGAGUGCAGUGGUGUGAUCUUGGCUCACUGCAGCCUCCACCUCCCAGGAGAAUCAAGCGACUCUCAUGCCUCAGCCUCCCCAGUAGCUGGGACUACAGGCACCAGCCCGGCAAAUGUUUUUGUACUUAGUAAGGCGGGGCUUCGAACUCCUGACCUCAAGUGACCCGCCUGCCUCGGGCUCGCAAAGCGCUGAGAUUACAGGAGAGAACCGCUGCGCCAGAUCUGAAGCCACUUUUUUUUUUCCAUAGCUUCGGCACAACCUGCAGCACCUCCAGGCCUGAUCUUGCCCUGUGGCUUCGCUCACCAGUCAGAGCUCCCCAAGCCCUUAUUAGUGCCAAUGAACUUUCUCAAAGAGGAAUAAGUUAACAUUUCUCUUUUUAAAAUAAAACCUCUAACCUCUUUGUUCUUCUGAGAGGGCACUUUGGGUUCAUGCUAGAGACUCUCCCUGGCUUGCAAACUGAUAUUGACAGUAGGACUCUUGUCUACUGUCUAGCCAUCCUGUUGUUCCUUUGAAUGACAAAUUUAAAACAAAUCACAGCCGACCGCUGUAGUUCACGCUUGUAAUCCCAGCACUUUGGGAGCCUGAGGCCGGCGGAUCACCUGUGGUCAGGAGUUAGAGACCAGUCUGGCCAACAGGGGGAAACCCCGUCUUUAUUAAAAAUAGAAACGUUUAGCUAGACAUAGUGGCGCGCCAGCAAUCGCAGCUGCUCAGGAGACUGAGGCUGAGGCAGGAGAAUCGGUUGAGGUUGCAGUGAGCCGAGAUUGCGCCACUUCAGCCUGGGUGACAGAGUGAGACUCCAUCUCAAAAAACUCCAAAAAACAAAAACACCACCAACAGAAAAAAAAAUCAUGCAGAUGUUGUGGUGUCUCUCAUAUGGGCUGUGGCAUGGUGAGAACUGCAGUCUGAGGAGCCUGCUGGCCUUGGGAUAAAAAUGGGUUCCAUGUUUGGUUUCCUCUGGGGCAGAGCACCAUAAGGUGCUUUGAUAAUAUGCACCCACAGUGUAAAUAUUAGAAUCACAAGUGCAGCUGACUGCCAGAUUAAGUUUUUUUUUUUUUUUUUUUAAAUAGAGACGAGGUCUUGCUAUGUUGCCCAGGCUGGUGUGCAGUGGCUAUUCACAGGUGCGAUCCCACUACUGAUCAGCACGGGAGUUUUGACCUGUGCCAUUUCUGACCUGGGCCGGUUCACCCCUCUUUAGGCAACCUAGUGGUCCCCCGCUCCCGGGAGGUCACCAUAUUGAUGCUGAACUUAGUGCAGACACCCCAUUGGCCUAGCGCACCACAGUCCAGAACCGGGUUCAAGCGAUCCACCUCAGCCUCCGGAGUAGCUGGGACUACUGGCAUGUGCCACCGUUCCCGGCCAGAUUAAGUUUAUUACAUAAUACAGAAUAUUUCCCAAUUAUAUAUGAAAUGCUUUAUUGUAAUAAGAAUUUCAGGUUGGUGGGGUGUUAGAGAUCAUCUUACUCUCUUUCAUUUUAUAAUUGAGUAAAGCAGAGGCAGAGAACAUAAGCGUCGUGGUUGAGGACUCAUAAAGAUGUGUUCAGGUUCAUCUGUGCCUUGUGUAAGUUAUCUCAAUAAACUUCAGUUUCCUCAUCUGUUAGAUAGGAUGAAGAAACAAAAUCCCCUGUACUUCAUUGGCACAAGGUACACACUGGAGAAAUCUGAGCCCUUAUUAAGGUCAGGUUAUUGACUUCUAAAAAAUUAAUUACCGUCAUUUUGUUAGUCAUACAGUUCAGAUACAAACACAGUUGCUUAACACAUCACAAGCAUUUUAUUCACAGAAGGGUUGUUCCAAGCUAAGGUAUAAGACUCAAAUGUUCCCUGAUCAUUUAUUGAAACUCAUUUUUUUAUUGUGUUAUUUAUAACAAUAUUUAUCACCUUAAUUUUUAAGGGCAUCAAGUACAUUCAUAUUACGCAACCAUCACCACUGUCCAUCUCCAGAUACAUCUUUAAUAAACAUUUUGGUUGAGAUCUAAUCCGUGUACUAUAAAAUUUGCCAAUCUGAGGUGAAGUGGUUUUUCAGUGUUGUGGAACCAAUACCACAAUCUAAUUUUAGAAGAAUGCUGUCACCCCAAAAAAACCCUAUACCCAUUAACAGUCAUUUCCCAUUUCCCUCCCAUUCCCUAGCCCCUGGCAACCACUAAUGUAUUUUCUGCCUCUAUAGAUUUGCCUAUUCUAAACAUUUCAUAUAGAUGAAAACACAAAAUACAGAGUCAUUUGUAACUGACCUUUUUCGUUUAACAUCAUGUUCUCAAGGUUCAUAUUAUAGCAGACAUCAGCAGCUAGUUAUUUUUAUUGCUAAUUAAUACUUCAUUACAUAAACAAAACAAAAAAAUUUAAAACUAUUCUAUUCUAUGGGUAUACUACAUUUUAUUAUCCAACAGUUGAUUGACAUUUGGGUUGUUCAUUUUUUGACUAUUAUGAGUAGUGCUGCUAUGAACAUUCAUGUACAAGCUUUUGUGUGGACUUAAGUUUUCUUUUUUUUUUUUUUAAAGACGGGGGUUUCACUAUGUUGGCUAGGCUGGUCUAGAACUCCUGACCUGGUGAUCUACCCGCCCCAGCCUCCCAAAGUGCUGGGAUUACAGGCGUGAGCCACCACACCCGGCCUGACUUAAGUUUUCCUGUGGUAACUUUAACAUUUUAAUGUACUGCCAAAUUGUUUUCCAAAGUGGCUACACCAUUUUACAUUCUCACCAGCAAUGUGUGAGGGUUUCAAUUUUUCCAUAUUCUUGCCCAUACUUGUUAUUCAUGUACCUCGUGAACCCCAAAAAUCUGAGGCCUCAAUUAAUUACAAAGUUUAUUUUUCCAAGGUUGAGGAUGUGCCCGUGACACAGCCUCAGGAAGCCCUGACGACAUUUGCCCAAGGUGGUCCGGGCACAGCCCGGUUUUAUACCUUUUAGGGAGACACGAGACACGAGUCAGUGUAUGUAAGAAGCAGCCUGGUGCAGUCUGGAGAGUCGGGACAACUUGAAGCAAGGGCAGGAAGACUCAAAGCAGGAAAGGGGCUUCUAGGUCACAGACAGGUGAGGGAUGAACAGUUGCAUUCUUGUGACUUCCUAAUCAGCCUUUCCAAAGGAGGCAAUCAGAUAUGCAUCUAUCUCAGUGAGCAGAGGGAUGACUGACUAGAAUGGGAGGCAGAUUUGCCAUGAGCAGUUCCUAGCUGGAAGGGACCCAAGAUCUUUUCUUUUCACAACCUUGUAUUAUGGUCAUCCUGGUAGGUAUAAAAUGAUAUUAUGGUUUUGAUUUGCAUUUUGCUAACGGUUAGUGAUUGUUCCUCAGUGGCCAGGCCAGUACAUAUCUGUCCCAAAGUCAGAGGAAGCUGAGAGGCCAAAGAAAGAGGCUGGCAAAUCUAGUUUCUUAGAGAGAAACAUUUAAUAGGGACUUAGGAACAGAAACCACAUCUGUGUCUCUGGCAGUGGUCAGACAAGAUGGUCGAUCCCCAGCCGUCACCCCUAGACCCUGGGCUUACAUGCCGUGAAAGGAAAAUAAAUCUUGCAACCCCAAACUCAUUAAGCCAAAGGGAGAAGUUAAGCUGGGAACUGGGUCAGGCAAACCCGCCUCCCGCUUUGGGUUCCUGAAUAAGAUGCCUACAAGAUGAAAACCUACAUGCCCCCCCCCCCUCCCCCAGCCAUAAAGCCCACAGGAAAUUGGUAGUGAGCCCUAAGAUUUUUUCCCUAAGGUGGUUCUGUUAAAAUUUCACCAUGGUAAUGUGAACUGAUAGCUUAUCUUUGCAGGUACAGUCACCCCACCACCACCAGAUGCAAAUGCAUAUUUGAUUGUUCCCUGCCCUGUUUUGUCUAUGUUAUCUUACAUAAUGCAGAUUCCUCUGCCCCAUUUGUCUAUGUCAUCUUAUGUGAAAUAAUAAUAAUGCAGAUUCACUGAGCCAGACAAAGGCAUGAAUGACUAUUUUUCCCUACCCGCGUCUUGAAAAAUGUGUACUUUUCAAUAUCCCACUCUUUCCCCUUUAAAUUUGAAGGCCUUCAAAAUCAUCUUUGGAGAAAGGCAUAGACCUGCCUCCGAAGCACAAGUCCUCACCUUUGGCAAAUAAGCUUCCUAAAAUGACUGAGUCUGGUCUCAUCAUUCUUCUCGAUUGAUAGCUGGUAACCACUAAGGGCACCUGAGUGAAGCCGGCCUGGCCGGCAGCAGCUCUCCUGCUGGUGCUUGGUACUGGUCUCAGCGCCUUGCAGCUGUUAUACCCGAGCAAGUAAAGGAAUGCAGCACACUCUGAGGUUUGAGUUACGAGUCCUUUAUUGCCGGCGACCAAGAGACGGCUAACGCCCAAACUUCUCUCGGCCCCAAAGAGUUAGGUGGUUUUAUAUGCCCUACUUUGAAAAAGGAGGGGGAACCUAACUGAAGCAAUUUUUCUCACAGAAGCAGAGCAAGCAAAAAGUUAAAAGAUAAACUAGAAACAGUACCAGGUGCAGGGGCUUAAGCUGUCACAAAAGACAUACAACCCCCGUGUAUGGACACGGGGGGCUCUGGGUACUUAACAUCUGCAUUCCCAGGGCUGCUGGUACCCCUUGACUCGGUAUCUUAUCAGCAAAUGCAUUCCUGGGUGUGCCUGGUGUCAUCCGGCCCCAGCUACACCCUACAGCUACAUAGCUAAUGGAGGGAAAAUAACUGUAAGUGAAGAAGCUAAGAUGGAGUUUGUCCAGCUUCUUCAAUUAAGGCUGAGUUGGUUAGACCUACACAAAGUACAUUAACACAUAGCCAAACCAACAGGACAAUUUGCUGAAGUCCAGGACCUCUUUAUUGCAGGGAUCCUGAUCUUCCAGUGUUUUUCAGUUGGGGACCAGAGGUUUAUUUGCUGUUUUUUUUUUUUUAAAAAAAACCCUCCUUUUUUCCUGGGAGUUUCCACUCGGUUCUAUCAAGGGAGGCAGCCUGUCCGCUUCUGCAUUGGUGGAGAGCAGUCUUCAGCUUGGGCACUAUCCCCAGGUCUCAAUUUUCCAGGGGCUUUAAAGGAAGAAAAUCCUGUAUUUAGAGCCUCGAGUCUGAAUUUCAACAAAGAUGGAGUCCUGCUCUGUUGCCAGACUGGAGUGCAAUGGCACAAUCUUGGCUCACUGCAACCUCUGCCUCUGGGGUUCAAGCGAUGCUCUUGCCUCAGUCUCCCAUGGAGCUGACACUACAGGUGCAUGCCACCAUGCCCAGGUAAUUUCUUGUAUUUUUAGUAGAGAUGGGAUAUCAUCAUAUUGGCCAGGAUGGCCUCGAUCUCUUGACCUUGUGAUCCACCUGCCCCAGCCUCCCAAAGUGCUGGGGUUACAGGUGUGUGCCAGCACACCUGGCCUAACAAUAACUUUUUGAACUACAUUCCUGAUUAUUAAGACACUAACUUUACCCAGCAGAAUUAUAUCCCUAGGUUCCAAAACCACCUGCAACACUGCAGACAAAGAAGGAGUAAGAGACAUGAUAGCCACAAGAAGAAAGAAGGAAAAUGCGAUAGGAAAACACUGGAAAUCGCUGGGCUGACAACUGACAGGCUGCUGGGGACUGGAGUUAGUCUGAGGACCUUCAGAUAACACCGAAGCAUAGUCCCAGCCAGAAAUCUUCAGUUGCCCUCGGACCUGCUUCCAAUCUCUGAUGGCUAGGCCUUCUAUGAAAGGAAACUAGAUUAGAAUAGACAAGAAGCCUUAGAAAAAAGUGUUAAUGAUUCGCUUUUACUCACCCUUCAGAUGAAUUCCCUCUUUCCCAGACAAUGCACCAAAAUAUGUUGUAGUCUUGGCAGUGCACCAAGAUAUAAGAGUCUGAGAUAACACCCAGAGUUCUUUGUCCUACCUCCAAGAAGAUUAAGGAGUGCAGGCACAAAGGUGAGGCUGGAGCAAAAGUUUAAUAAGUCAGAGAAGAAAACCCUCUGCCAGCAGAGAGGGCGUCCUAAACCAGAUGCCUACUUUAAGGCCCAUUCUGGGGUUUUUAUGAACUGGAAGGGGAAGAUAUGCUUAGUUUGCAGGUUGUCUUGGAGAACGUGUGACUUAGCUUGGCUCAGGACCAAUUAGAAAGCUUGGCCUGGGACUUUGGCCCAGGAUAAAUUAGGUGCUGAUUCAUAGAGGCUGCUUAGCUUGGCCCAGGACCUAUCAGGAGUUGAAGUGAAAGCUUGACCUGAGACUAAUCAGGGGCUGAAGUGAUGAUUCAGAGGCUGGACUCACAGCCCAAAAAAGGGAAAGAAGAAUGCCCCCUGUGCCCGUGCCCAAAAAAUGAGAAGAACCUUUUCCCUGGGAGCCCACUGACUAAACAAAUGACAAGGACACUUUUAUGCUGGGCCUUUUUCUUUUAUGAGUGAGCCAGAGGUCUGUGCAAGUUUUUAUCCAGAUGGGCCAGAGAUUUUUCUGUGUAGCUAUGGGCAUAUCUCCAGCCACAUCCUGUGCUAGUUACCUUAUUAGUGCCUGCAGCUUGAUUUUGUUUCCCCAGGCUGCUGCUUAUGUUACAUGGGAAUGAGGCACAAACCCAUGGGUUGGGGCUCUCCAGGUACCCUUCCCUUGUUAUACCUAUGGCAAGCUAACUAAUUCCUUUCAUAAUCUCCAAAGACUUUUCUGUACUCAUCACAGUGGCAGGGUUUCCCUUUAGGGUAAACCGGCCAGGGCCACUAUGGGCCAGGACACAGACACAGACACACAGACACACACACAAUUUUGGGAACCCAAUCUCAUUUAGCCAAAGAGAAAUGUCAAGCCGGGAACUGGAUCAUGCAGACCUGCCUCCCCUUUUGGUUCCUAAAUAAGAUGGCUAUGAGAUGAAAGGCCACACCCCUCCCCCAUUUUGCUGAAAAGAAAACUGCUGGUAAGCUAUUAAAACUUCACUAUGGCAAAGCGAAUUAACAGCUUAUCUUUACAGGUGCAGUUACCCAGGCCUGCCAGACAUAAAUGCUUAACUGAUUGCUCCCCUACCCCAUUUUGUCUGUGUUGUAUCUUAUGUAAAAUGCAGAUUCCCCAUAUUUUUCCUCUGCCCCCUUUUGUUCAUGUGAAAACUGUUUCUCAAUAUCCUGCCCUUUCCCUCUUAAAUCUGGAGCCCUCAAAGUCACCUCUGGAGAAAAGCACAGACCCAUCUCCUGGGCACGUCCGUAACGCUGGCAAAGCUCCUGACGUGAUUGAGAUUUGUUUUGUCACUCUCUUUGAUAGACAUCUGGUAACCAUGAAGGGACCCUGAGUGGAAGUGACCCAGUCUGCAGCACUCUGCCUCUCAGUGCUUGGCACUGGCUUGGGCACCUUAUAGCCUGAAAAACGGGACAAUUCGCUGAAGUCUGGGACCUCUUUCAUCCAGGGACCCCUGAGCUUCCAAUGUUUCUUGGUUGGGGAUCUGAGGUUUAUUUGCUGUAAAGAAAAACAAAACAAAAACCCUCUCUUUUUGUGGGAGUUUGUCUGCUUCUGCAUUGGCAGAGGGUGGUCUCCAGCUCGGGCCCCAUCACUAGAUAAGAAACUGGUUUUGAAUUCUGUCUUACAAGUUCUUUAAAUGACUAAAAUUAGCAUUAACAA